GGGGAUUUAGCUCAGCGGUAGAGCGCUUGCCUAGCGCAAGGCCCUGGGUUCAGUCCCCA
This 59-nucleotide transfer RNA is filed under the name Rattus norvegicus (Norway rat). It matches the Rfam family "tRNA". From Rfam's summary of the family: Transfer RNA (tRNA) molecules are approximately 80 nucleotides in length. Their secondary structure includes four short double-helical elements and three loops (D, anti-codon, and T loops). Further hydrogen bonds mediate the characteristic L-shaped molecular structure. tRNAs have two regions of fundamental functional importance: the anti-codon, which is responsible for specific mRNA codon recognition, and the 3' end, to which the tRNAs corresponding amino acid is attached (by aminoacyl-tRNA synthetases). tRNAs cope with the degeneracy of the genetic code in two manners: having more than one tRNA (with a specific anti-codon) for a particular amino acid; and 'wobble' base-pairing, i.e. permitting non-standard base-pairing at the 3rd anti-codon position. Lineage: Eukaryota; Metazoa; Chordata; Mammalia; Rodentia; Muridae. The record is from Rfam by way of RNAcentral.